AUCCUUACCUGGCAGGGGAGAUACCAUGAUCAUGAAGGUGGUUUUUCCAGGGUGAGGCUCACCCAUUGCACUUUGGGUAUGCUGAUCCCUAUGAUUUCCCCAAAUGUGGGAAACUUGACUGCAUAAUUUGUGAUAGUGGGGGACUGUGUUUGUGCUCUCCCAUG
This 164-nucleotide small nuclear RNA is filed under the name Pogona vitticeps (central bearded dragon). RNAcentral describes it as "U1 spliceosomal RNA (ENSPVIG00000001358.1)". It matches the Rfam family "U1 spliceosomal RNA". Rfam says of the family: U1 is a small nuclear RNA (snRNA) component of the spliceosome (involved in pre-mRNA splicing). Its 5' end forms complementary base pairs with the 5' splice junction, thus defining the 5' donor site of an intron. Lineage: Eukaryota; Metazoa; Chordata; Lepidosauria; Squamata; Agamidae. The record is from Rfam by way of RNAcentral.